GCGUCGGUGGUAUAACGGUUAGCAUAGCUGCCUUCCAAGUAGUUGACUCGGGUUCGACUCCCGGCCGACGCA
RNAcentral lists this transfer RNA (72 nucleotides) under Caerostris darwini. RNAcentral's name for it is "tRNA-Gly". It matches the Rfam family "tRNA". From Rfam's summary of the family: Transfer RNA (tRNA) molecules are approximately 80 nucleotides in length. Their secondary structure includes four short double-helical elements and three loops (D, anti-codon, and T loops). Further hydrogen bonds mediate the characteristic L-shaped molecular structure. tRNAs have two regions of fundamental functional importance: the anti-codon, which is responsible for specific mRNA codon recognition, and the 3' end, to which the tRNAs corresponding amino acid is attached (by aminoacyl-tRNA synthetases). tRNAs cope with the degeneracy of the genetic code in two manners: having more than one tRNA (with a specific anti-codon) for a particular amino acid; and 'wobble' base-pairing, i.e. permitting non-standard base-pairing at the 3rd anti-codon position. Lineage: Eukaryota; Metazoa; Arthropoda; Arachnida; Araneae; Araneidae. The record is from RNAcentral.